This 497-nucleotide ribosomal RNA is filed under the name uncultured bacterium. Its description in RNAcentral is "partial 16S ribosomal RNA". It matches the Rfam family "Bacterial small subunit ribosomal RNA", at positions 28 to 507 of the family's 1533-position model. The record is from RNAcentral.
GAUGAACGCUGGCGGCGUGCCUAAUACAUGCAAGUCGAGCGAACAGACGAGGAGCUUGCUCCUCUGACGUUAGCGGCGGACGGGUGAGUAACACGUGGAUAACCUACCUAUAAGACUGGGAUAACUUCGGGAAACCGGAGCUAAUACCGGAUAAUAUAUUGAACCGCAUGGUUCAAUAGUGAAAGACGGUUUUGCUGUCACUUAUAGAUGGAUCCGCGCCGCAUUAGCUAGUUGGUAAGGUAACGACUUACCAAGGCAACGAUGCGUAGCCGACCCGAGAGGGUGAUCGGCCACACUGGAACUGAGACACGGUCCAGACUCCUACGGGAGGCAGCAGUAGGGAAUCUUCCGCAAUGGGCGAAAGCCUGACGGAGCAACGCCGCGUGAGUGAUGAAGGUCUUCGGAUCGUAAAACUCUGUUAUUAGGGAAGAACAAAUGUGUAAGUAACUAUGCACGUCUUGACGGUACCUAAUCAGAAAGCCACGGCUAGCUACGUG